This 351-nucleotide long non-coding RNA is filed under the name Ricinus communis (castor bean). RNAcentral's name for it is "long non-coding RNA (RCOM_LNC002647)". The record is from RNAcentral. Lineage: Eukaryota; Viridiplantae; Streptophyta; Magnoliopsida; Malpighiales; Euphorbiaceae.
GGGAAAGAAUAAAAGUACAUGCAUACACAUUCAGCCGUGGAUAUGAUUCUAUACUCAACAAUGUCUAUGCGCUUUGCCAUUCCUGUUAUGCGCUGACAAGGACCAUAAUUCAGUUCAAAGAAAAAAAAGAAGCCAAGCACAAGAUCAUCUCCAUAUUCAUACAACUUGGUUUUCUUCAUGUUACCAUGAUUCAACACUUUACAUUUAGAAACCAGAAGUUAAUUUUAAUCUUUCAUGUUCAAAUUCGGGCCAAGUAUAAUUCUAAAGUUCAACAAUUAACACACUAUUCCAAUAGUAAUACUUGAAUAUUUAAACUCAAAUCCUGGAAGCUUAAGAGUUAGGUUUGCAUUG